This 501-nucleotide ribosomal RNA is filed under the name uncultured bacterium. RNAcentral describes it as "bacterial SSU rRNA". It matches the Rfam family "Bacterial small subunit ribosomal RNA", at positions 15 to 518 of the family's 1533-position model. The record is from RNAcentral.
GAUUCUGGCUCAGGAUGAACGCUGGCGGCGUGCUUAACACAUGCAAGUCAAGCGAAGCAUAAAAACAGAUUCUUCGGAAUGAAAUUUUAUGACUGAGCGGCGGACGGGUGAGUAACGCGUGGGUGACCUGCCUCAUACAGGGGGAUAACAGACAGAAAUGUCUGCUAAUACCGCAUAAGCGCACGGUGCUGCAUGGCACAGUGUGAAAAACUCCGGUGGUAUGAGAUGGACCCGCGUCUGAUUAGCUAGUUGGUAAGGUAACGGCUUACCAAGGCGACGAUCAGUAGCCGGCCUGAGAGGGUGAACGGCCACAUUGGGACUGAGACACGGCCCAAACUCCUACGGGAGGCAGCAGUGGGGAAUAUUGCACAAUGGGGGAAACCCUGAUGCAGCGACGCCGCGUGAAGGAAGAAGUAUUUCGGUAUGUAAACUUCUAUCAGCAGGGAAGAAAAUGACGGUACCUGACUAAGAAGCCCCGGCUAACUACGUGCCAGCAGCCGC